CUACGGGACGCUCCAGUGAGGAAUAUUGGUCAAUGGGCGCAAGCCUGAACCAGCCAUGCCGCGUGAAGGAUGAAGGCCUUAUGGGUUGUAAACUUCUUUUAUACGGGAAUAAACUUAGCUAUGUAUAGCUAACUGCAGGUACCGUAAGAAUAAGCACCGGCUAACUCCGUGCCAGCAGCCGCGGUAAUACGGAGGGUGCAAGCGUUAUCCGGAUUUAUUGGGUUUAAAGGGUCCGCAGGCGGACUAAUAAGUCAGUGGUGAAAUCUCUCGGCUCAACCGAGAAACUGCCAUUGAUACUGUUAGUCUAGAGUGUAGUUGGCGUAGGCGGAAUGUAUCAUGUAGCGGUGAAAUGCUUAGAUAUGAUACAGAACACCGAUCGCGAAGGCAGCUUACGAAACUACAACUGACGCUCAGGGACGAAAGCGUGGGAAGCGAACAGGAUUAGAUACCCCCGUAGUC
RNAcentral lists this ribosomal RNA (459 nucleotides) under uncultured bacterium. Its description in RNAcentral is "partial 16S ribosomal RNA". It matches the Rfam family "Bacterial small subunit ribosomal RNA", at positions 339 to 795 of the family's 1533-position model. The record is from RNAcentral.